This 464-nucleotide ribosomal RNA is filed under the name uncultured Klebsiella sp. RNAcentral's name for it is "bacterial SSU rRNA". It matches the Rfam family "Bacterial small subunit ribosomal RNA", at positions 338 to 795 of the family's 1533-position model. The record is from RNAcentral. Lineage: Bacteria; Pseudomonadati; Pseudomonadota; Gammaproteobacteria; Enterobacterales; Enterobacteriaceae.
CCUACGGCGGCUGCAGUGGGGAAUAUUGCACAAUGGGCGCAAGCCUGAUGCAGCCAUGCCGCGUGUGUGCAGAAGGCCUUCGGGUUGUAAAGCACUUUCAGCGGGGAGGAAGGCGUUAAGGUUUAUAACCUUGGCGAUUGACGUUACCCGCAGAAGAAGCACCGGCUAACUCCGUGCCAGCAGCCGCGGUAAUACGGAGGGUGCAAGCGUUAAUCGGAAUUACUGGGCGUAAAGCGCACGCAGGCGGUCUGUCAAGUCGGAUGUGAAAUCCCCGGGCUCAACCUGGGAACUGCAUUCGAAACUGGCAGGCUAGAGUCUUGUAGAGGGGGGUAGAAUUCCAGGUGUAGCGGUGAAAUGCGUAGAGAUCUGGAGGAAUACCGGUGGCGAAGGCGGCCCCCUGGACAAAGACUGACGCUCAGGUGCGAAAGCGUGGGGAGCAAACAGGAUUAGAUACCCGAGUAGUC